UUUAGGUGACGGGGAAGUUCAGGGGAAAGGGGUCUAGGUGGAAGAGGAAAAGGGUUUUGGUGGUGAGUAUUCUGACUCUAUAACCUGGCUGCAAGUGUGAGGCUGUGGGAAUGUCUGUGGUAAUCUCCUUAGACCAGUACUUACACCAGAAACUUCGUCAAAUAGUGCCAACUCAGCUGCAGAGACGCAAAACAAGGUUCCACAUCUUUUAUUCUGGGCAAAUCUUGCUAAACAUCACAGUAAAGGAGGUGAAAAAAUGAUAGUUUCCCAGAAGCUGGGCAGCCAUGUGCUUUCCUCAGAAGAAGUACAGGCCAGAGAGAGAAGGGGGAGGAGUUAUAACUAGGGAUACAGAAAGCCAAGAGGGCCAAACUACAAAGGAGGAGCUAUUGCAUCAUGCUAAGAGUACAGAAAGCCGAGAGGGCCAAACUACAAAUCAAACACAGUGUGGCAGACGCAUAUAUUAUGCUGUGGGGCAUAACAGUGAGGAAAGGAGUCUGGGCAGCAAAGGAAGUUGGGGAAAGACUUGGUGGUGAGGAAGAGUCUGGGCGGCGAAGGCAAAGGGGAAAAGGUUUGGACGGUAGAACCUUGGUGGAUCGAAGACUUCUGGUGCCACGAAACACCACAACGUACAAGGCCCCACCAACACCUGUAAUAGCCCCUACUUGGGCCGCACCACGAAGACAUCAGAGGAGGACUCUCUGGAUGGGGCUGAUCUUCUUGGCACUCUUUUUUGGGAUUUCCUUAAGAUUCAUUCUCAGAGACAGGCUUGCUGCAGACAAGGAAAAAGGCAAUACUGUCGAGACAUUUUUAGAUCCUCCAAUUCAGGAAAGGCAGUACCUAUGAGGCAAGAAAACAAAGGGGUACAACAAAAUCAGGAAAAGGAAAUGGCUACUUCCCUUUCACAAAUGCCUGAGCUCGACGUUAGUCCUGAAUACACUGAAGAUAUUAAUGAAAAUAUAACAGUAGGAAUGUGUUACAUCGUUCAACUAAAAGCCUACAAAGAAGCAAGCAAUGACGCCACAAAGGAGGAUUUUUCUUUCAAAUCUUUAGACAGAUAAUUCAUCAGGGAAUUGCUGGGCCAUGAAUGGCGCUCAGGGCUUCUUAAUAAUUAAACCCAGCUGCCCUGCUUUUUUGCUUCUGGACCACCUUAAAAAGGAAAUCACCAGUGCUCCACCAAGGAGAUCACCAGUGCUCCACAAAACUUUUCUGUAUAUGGAUCGUGUCUAGAAGGAUGGCAAUACCUAAAACUUGUGAUUGCAAGCAAUUGGAAUAACCCAAACUACACGUGUAUAUAUGAAGUUGGUGUAUAUAAUUAAAUAUUAGCUGUUAGGUUAUAGGCACAAAAUAAAAAUGUGUUCAAAAGAAAAUGGGUAGAGAGUUUAAUAUCUUUAAAUGUUAAUGGAUUGGUUUCAGAUUUAAAAGGUACAGAUUGCUGACUCAAACUAAGAAAGAGGGCGCUAAUAUAAUGUGUACUCAAGAAACGCAUAAGGCUAAAAAUGAGAAAAAAACAUUUCCAAAUUUCUUGUUAUAGGAAACAAAAGCAGAAGACAGCGGAAUAAAUAAAGCAAGAGUGUUGGCAAUAAUAAUGAGCAAAAACCUAAU
This is an RNA transcript of Anolis carolinensis (green anole), 1602 nucleotides long. RefSeq lists it as uncharacterized. The record is from RefSeq and is a predicted model, not a curated record. Lineage: Eukaryota; Metazoa; Chordata; Lepidosauria; Squamata; Anolidae. The transcript is spliced from 8 exons.